AAUCAAUGUGUGCAUGUUCAAUACAUAAUCUGUCAAUGUGCAUGCUGCCAAUUCAGUGUAUCCUAUCCAUUUGAAACACAAAUAGACUUUGAAAUAGAAAAGAUCAAUAAAGAGAAAGUAUGCAGAGGCUAUUUUCUAGAGAGAGGAAAAGAAAAAAAUAAAGAGGGAUAUUUUGUAGACUCAUUUUAUGAAGUUAGAAGCUGAUUACAUCACUAAUGUGCCA
RNAcentral lists this long non-coding RNA (223 nucleotides) under Gallus gallus (chicken). The record is from RNAcentral. Lineage: Eukaryota; Metazoa; Chordata; Aves; Galliformes; Phasianidae.